Molecule: ribosomal RNA, 1339 nt
Filed under: metagenome
Description: bacterial SSU rRNA
Rfam family: Bacterial small subunit ribosomal RNA
Source: RNAcentral
AGAGUUUGAUCCUGGCUCAGAACUAACGCUCGUGGCGUGUCUUAGUCAUGUAAGUCGAACGAGAAAGCCCUCUUCGGAGGGUGAGUAGAGUGGCGGACGGGUGAGUAACACGUGGGUAACCUGCCUUCGAGUUGGGAAUAACAUCCCUAACGGGGUGCUAAUACCGAAUGAUGAGGCGUGACGCAAGUCAUCGCCCCCAAAGAUGGCCUCUGCAUGCAAGCUGUCGCUCGGAGAUGGGCCCGCGCCGUAUUAGCUAGUUGGUGGGGUAACGGCCUACCAAGGCGACGAUGCGUAGCCGGCCUGAGAGGGUGAACGGCACACUGGAACUGAGACAAGGCCCAGUCCCCUACGGGGGCCAGCAGUCUAGAAACUUGCACAAUCGACGAAAGUUGGAUGCAGCGACGCCACGUGGAGGAUGAAGCCCCUCGGGGUGUAAACUCCUGUCAGAAGGGAAGAAGGCGCGAGCGCUAAUACCGUUCGUUGCUUGACGGUACCUUCAGAGGAAGCUCCGGCUAACUACGUGCCAGCAGCCGCGGUAAUACGUAGGGAGCGAGCGUUGUUCGGAUUUACUGGGCGUAAAGGGCAGGUAGGCGGGUGUGUAAGUCGGCUGUGAAAUCCUCUGGCUCAACCAGAGAACCGCAGUCGAAACUACACACCUUGAGUUCAGCAGAGGGAAUCGGAAUCCUAGGUGUAGCGGUGAAAUGCGUAGAUAUCUAGGAGAACACCAGUGGCGAAGGCGGAUUCCUGGGCUGACACUGACGCUGAGCUGCGAAAGCGUGGGUAGCGAACAGGAUUAGAUACCCUGGUAGUCCACGCCGUAAACGAUGGGUACUAGGUGUUGGAGGACAUUGACCCCUUCAGUGCCGCAGCUAACGCAUUAAGUACCCCGCCUGGGGAGUACGGCCGCAAGGCUGAAACUCAAAGGAAUUGACGGGGACCCGCACAAGCAGUGGAGCAUGUGGCUCAAUUCGAAGCAACGCGAAGAACCUUACCUGGGCUUGACAUCUGGGGAGUCCUCUGGAAACAGAGGAGUGCCUUCGGGAACCCCAAGACAGGUGCUGCAUGGCUGUCGUCAGCUCGUGUCGUGAGAUGUUGGGUUAAGUCCCGCAACGAGCGCAACCCCUGUCCUUAGUUGCCGGCGGAUAAAGCCGGGAACUCUAAGGAGACUGCCUGUUAUAAGCAGAAGGAAGGUGGGGAUGACGUCAAGUCAUCAUGGCUCUUACGCCCAGGGCUGCACACGUGCUACAAUGGCCGGUACAAAGGGUUGCAAUACCGUGAGGUGGAGCCAAUCCCAGAAAACCGGUCUCAGUUCGGAUUGAAGUCUGCAACUCGACUUCAU